UUUCCGUAGGUGAACCUGCGGAAGGAUCAUUAUUGGAUUUUGAAACUUCAGGCUGCUGCUGGCUCUCCUCGGAGGGCAUGUGCACGCUUGUUGUCCAUUAUUUCUCCCACUGUGCACAAAUUGUAGGCCUUUCUGUAGGCCUAUGUUGUUUUUCACAAUCUCUGAAUGUAAUAGAAUGGUUUUGAAUCUUGGGAAAUACAAUACAACUUUCAGCAACGGAUCUCUUGGCUCUC
Molecule: unclassified non-coding RNA, 233 nt
Filed under: plant metagenome
Description: partial contains small subunit ribosomal RNA, internal transcribed spacer 1, and 5.8S ribosomal RNA
Source: RNAcentral